GAGCUGGACCUGAGUAACAAUGACCUGCAGGAUUCAGGAGUGAAGCUGCUCUCUCAUGGACUGAAGAUUCCAAACUGUCAACUGCACACAUUGAGGUUGUCUGGAUGUAUGGUGACAGAAGAAGGCUGUGGUUAUGUGUCUUCAGCUCUGAGUUCAAACCCCUCACACCUGAGAGAACUGGAUCUGAGCUACAAUCACCCCAGAGAUUCAGGAGUCAAGCUGCUCUCUGAAAAACUGGAGGAUCCAAAGUGCUCACUGGACAAACUCAAUGUGGAUCAUGGAGGAGAAUCCAGGAUUACAGCAGGACUAAAGAAAUGUACGUCUACACACACACACACACACACACACACCCACACACACAGAGACACACA
Sinocyclocheilus grahami is the source of this 371-nucleotide long non-coding RNA. RefSeq lists it as uncharacterized. The transcript has 3 exons. The record is from RefSeq and is a predicted model, not a curated record. NCBI's taxonomy places the organism in Eukaryota, Metazoa, Chordata, Actinopteri, Cypriniformes, Cyprinidae.